CGUGUAUUUAUUCUGGGACACGGCACUUAGAAUUUAGUUGUCUCACAUCAUUUAAGAGCUAUAAACAUGAAAUUAAUUUUUCUUGCCUUCUUUCUGAUUCCUUUAAUUGAUUCGAUCAUGGGGAAUUCUCCGGAUAUUUGCAAGCUUCCGAAGGUUGUUGGGCCUUGCAAAGCCGGGCUUCACCGGGUCUAUUACAAUUCUGCAGACAAAAAGUGCACUGAAUUUUUAUUUGGUGGAUGUCAAGGAAACGAAAAUAAUUUCAAGUCUAUACUGGACUGCGAAGCCGCUUGCAAAGGAAAAUAAGUAUACCUGAACUGAAGCUAUCGCAAAAAUAAUUAUAAGUAUUAUUUAAUACAUUGCAUAGUUAUCAGAUAAAAAUAAAAUAAAAUGUUUAUAUUGACAUUUAUCAAAUUUAA
Drosophila takahashii is the source of this 416-nucleotide long non-coding RNA. RefSeq lists it as uncharacterized. The record is from RefSeq and is a predicted model, not a curated record. Lineage: Eukaryota; Metazoa; Arthropoda; Insecta; Diptera; Drosophilidae.